This is a long non-coding RNA of Octopus bimaculoides (California two-spot octopus), 224 nucleotides long. The record is from RefSeq and is a predicted model, not a curated record. NCBI's taxonomy places the organism in Eukaryota, Metazoa, Mollusca, Cephalopoda, Octopoda, Octopodidae.
AGUUUCCAGUAGCUCACUGCCUGGCAUACAAGAAGUUGUGAUUACGUUGCCUCACCGUGUCUCUUCAUUUGCAAGACCUCCUAGCAGUCAACAGAAGAUGAACUUCAUUACCUGCAGACUGGACAGCAGAACAACAAAUAACCUGUAUACAAUUACAAUAAGUUGUUUCUACUUGUAACAAUGAUAAUAACGCUAUAAUAAAGGCCAUUUCAACCAACUAACAA